Aegilops tauschii subsp. strangulata is the source of this 1082-nucleotide non-coding RNA. NCBI's taxonomy places the organism in Eukaryota, Viridiplantae, Streptophyta, Magnoliopsida, Poales, Poaceae. The record is from RefSeq and is a predicted model, not a curated record.
GCCAUUCGUGACCCGCCUAACAAGUACCAUGGUCGAUCGGCAUGAAAUGUGCAAGGAUUCUUCCUCCAACGAAUGUGGUGACCCACCAUGACCAUGAAUGACAUUAGUGACCGAGGGCUUCUGAUGAUCUUUGUGGGAGCAAGGGCCGGCGGCGUAUCCACCAUUUCUGGCAUGCUUGUCGACCCUUUUGACUGAAUAUGCUUCUGAACCUCUGCUAGAAAAUCAGUAGGCAUCCCAGAAAGUACUAUCCACGUAGAGAUUAUGGCCUCGUGUGGGCUCUCCCUUCCUCUCGAGGGCAUAGAGAUUUGGGUCGGAUGACCACCUUGGGGCAUCUAGCGACUCAUCAUACCUUGGGUCUUCGAAGUAGUAGAGUCCGGUUUCUUUAUGAAGCACAGCUAGGGAUCGGAGAUAUUUCUUGGCACACGGAUCCAGGAUAUUACUGAAGGGUGUCGGUUGACGUUGUGAAGAAAACAUAGCAUCAUGCUUAUCCCAGAUUUGCUGCUUCCCUUCAUAACCACGGGUGCCUAGAUUGUGAUUCCCUACCAUUUGGCUUCGGAGCUGCAUAGACUUCUCUUUGUCCUGUUUGUAUGCAUCGGUACUGCUAGGAUAUAUAUUUUGGAUAUACUAUAUAGGCAUUUAAUAUAGUCUUGGUAAUCAAGGUACUCCUUCCGGUCCUCAUUGGUACUACCAGGAUAUAGUUUUUGGAUAAACUCUAAAUCAUGCCCGUCGUCAAGUAGUUUUUUGCACGGUAUCUAUUACUAUUCAAGGCCUUACUGAACACACGCAUGGCAUGGAUUUCUGCAAGUGCAUUGUCUCGGUCGUUGAACUUGAAAAUAUCUCCCAUCUUUGCUAACAGGAGCUUUCACUAUUGCUUGUUUUUAGGGCCCCUUAAGCAUCUAACGUUGAUGUCACAGUUUCCACGGGUGAUGGCAGCUAGGACGUUACCCCAUUUUGUUGCGUUCUUGAUCGGACUAACGGGUCUCCCCACUUUGUUAAUCCGUUUUAUUAUGUAAGUAGAUGUAGGCACCUUAUUCUGUGAUCUACGCUUUCGCAGCUGAAUUUCCAAAUCAUCUUGUGCACCA